GAUGAACGCUGGCGGCGUGCCUAAUACAUGCAAGUCGAGCGAACGGACGAGAAUCUUGCUUCUCUUAUGUUAGCGGCGGACGGGUGAGUAACACGUGGAUAACCUACCUAUAAGACUGGGAUAACUUCGGGAAACCGGAUCUAAUACCGGAUAAUAUUGUGAACCGCAUGGUUCAACAGUGAUAGACGGUCUUGCUGUCACUUAUAGAUGGAUCCUGGCUGCAUUAGCUAGUUGGUACGGUAACGGCCUACCAAGGCUACGAUGCAUAACCGAUCUGAGAGGGGGAUUAGUCACACUGGAAAUGGGACACGGUCCAGACUCCUACGGGAGGGAGCAGUGGGGAAUAUUUGACAAUGGGCGAAAGCCUGAUCCAGCCAUGCCGCGGGUGGGAAGGAGGUCUUCGGAUUGUAAAACACUUUUAGUUGGGAGGAAACGCAGUAAGUAAAAACCUUGCUGUUUUGACGGGAACAACAGAAGAAGCACCGGCUAACUUCGUG
This 497-nucleotide ribosomal RNA is filed under the name uncultured bacterium. RNAcentral describes it as "partial 16S ribosomal RNA". It matches the Rfam family "Bacterial small subunit ribosomal RNA", at positions 28 to 507 of the family's 1533-position model. The record is from RNAcentral.